AUACGGAGGGUCCAAGCGUUAUCCGGAAUCAUUGGGUUUAAAGGGUCCGCAGGCGUGCAAUUAAGUCAGAGGUGAAAGCCCAUCGCUCAACGAUGGAACUGCCUUUGAUACUGGUUGACUUGAGUUAUACGGAAGUAGAUAGAAUAAGUAGUGUAGCGGUGAAAUGCAUAGAUAUUACUUAGAAUACCGAUUGCGAAGGCAGUCUACUACGUAUAUACUGACGCUGAGGGACGAAAGCGUGGGGAGCGAAAAGGAUUAGAAACCCUAGUAGUCC
Molecule: ribosomal RNA, 274 nt
Filed under: uncultured bacterium
Lineage: Bacteria
Description: partial 16S ribosomal RNA
Rfam family: Bacterial small subunit ribosomal RNA
Source: RNAcentral